Molecule: long non-coding RNA, 4142 nt
Organism: Gallus gallus (chicken)
Lineage: Eukaryota; Metazoa; Chordata; Aves; Galliformes; Phasianidae
Product: basic proline-rich protein-like
Exons: 2
Source: RefSeq, a predicted model, not a curated record
UGUGGCAGCCCACAUGAUGCUUUUUUAGGCUUCACAAGCCGCCUCCACCAGGCACAGAACACGGAUGGGAACAACACCGGUACGAGUGCCUGCCGUGGUGUAGCUGGGGAGGAGGAGUGCUGGUUAGGAGGCUGUGGUUUCACUGUGUGCUGGCACAGGGAAACUCACAGCCUGGAUGAAAGGCAGCACGGGCACCACGGAUGGAGACCGUUCAUCCCAUCUGGUUCUGGAAACAGCACAAGUACUGAAGGAAAAUAUGGCAGAACCUGUUCAGUCCAUGCACAGACUGGAGGAAGAGGAAGAAAUGCCCUCCCCUGCUCUCCCACCCUAACAGAGAGCUGUGUUCACCUUCUAACAGACUUCUGCUCAGCAUCACUGCUGAGCUGCUCCUGGACCCCGACAGCCUCUGGGUUAUGGGGAAAAAACAGCAUUUCUGACUUCUGCUUAGAGAUGAGCAGUAAACAGUAGGCAGUGUUUCAGAUGCUUGUCUCUCCUCUUAGCUUCAGGCUCACCGUGAUGCUCAUCUCACCUUCCCGUGCAAGCAGAGCGCAGGGCUCACCUCUGCCAUCUUUUCCAUGCAGUGCAAAGGAAGCUGAGUAAGUGGUGCAUUCUUCUCCCUUCCUCAGGUGGCCGGGUUCUUUGUGACUGCUCUGUCUUCUCAUCCUUCUUCAGAAGGGGCUCGGAUCACCCACGCUACUGAUGCAGCUUCAUCUCCCAGACGAGGUGCUUUGCUGCGCUGUGCUGAACGCACUGCAGACCCCGCUGCCUUGGCAAUGUCUGCCACCGGGACGUGGCUUCCCCUGAAGCUGCCUUUCUGUAAGACCAAGGCAAACUUCAAGUUUAUUGCUCGUUCCAUUCAUAACGAGAAGUUCCCCUGACUUGCCAAGCUGCUGAAUCAGCUCGGGCACCUCACCCUUGAGUCAGCAAAGCCCGAAAUAGAAACUCGCUCUGUUUCCGAGCACAGGAAGCACCGCUGUUGUCUGCAAACACAGCCACAUCCAACAUGGUUUUUUAUAACUCCAGCUCCUCGCUGGAGGAACUUGAAUGACAUCCUUGAAAACAAAACAGAGCAAAACUGUUUUCUUACUUGCAAUGGGGAAGCUCAGAUUGGUAUGAAUGGAGCUGCGCGGGGCAGAAGCACCCAGGAGCAAGCAGAGGGAGGACAAGUGGCAGGCAGGGAGGCCAGCCAGCACCGACCCCCAGCAUGGCUGCAGCUGCUCCAGUUGGUCAGAGCCAGGAACAAGGGACAGCCAGGCCGGAGCAGAGCCCCGGGCCAUUGAGGAGUGGUGGCAGGAGGACAGGGUGGGAGCUGAGAAGCCAAUGGGAGCUCAACGGUGGAGACGUCCAUCCAAGAUGCCCUGAGCAGAGCGGAGUCUUUCCCUACCAGGCCACAACCAUAAAAUAGCUAAAAGCAGUGAACAUGACCAACACUUGCAUUCAAGGGGUGUGGACUUACUUAGCUGUAAAGUCAUCAGCAGGACUUCCGUGAGUAGGUGGCAGGCAGUGAGAAGCCACGUACAGCCAGUCUGUAUGUGCCGCACUGGGGAGGAGUUUCGAUGACUCCAAGUCAGGCCACCGAGAAAUACAAUCCCAGCGUUAAUUCACAUUUUCCAUUCUCGAGAGGCUGAGCUACGUUUUACCUUGCAGAUGCACCAUCAGCCAUUUCCAGCACACCAUAAGAGCCCCGUGGCUCCCACGGCCUCCUUGGGCAACCUGUGUUCACCGCACGGCUUCUGUGGGAAGAUCCAUACGGAUAAGGGAGCAUGGGAAGGACCUCAGAGGACACGUACCCCACAGGCAGCUGGGGGUGGCACUUAGGGCAGGAUUUUCCUGCGUUACUAUGGAAGAAAUGAUAGAGAUUUGAGAAAAAAAAUAUUGUCAUUUCUGCAGUAUUUCCCUAUAACUCAAUUCAGUCGUUUUCUGCCUCCUGCCACAGCGCGGUUGCAACUUGCAGCACGUCCUGCGUUUGAUGCUUUGGGUUAUUCAGCUGAAAAGAGGAGGGGAAGAGAACGUGCAGGCACAAUUACGGCCUUGUGCAAUCCCCUUGUGUACACUGCACGGGUUUGAAGAAAGACCUGCUGCGAGUCCACCGAAAAUCCCAGCUCCGGGCCUGAGUGCUGCAGGGAAUUCCACAGCUCACAGCUCGUGCAACGUGUGCUGUGUGUGCACUCAGCCCUUUUCUGAGCGCAGGUGUCUGAGGAUGAGGGAAUCACGGCUGUGCCGGAAUGGGAACAACACAGCAUUCCCAUCCCCUCGUACAGCCGCUUUGUCCUUCCACUCUCUGAAUGCUGCAGUGUAUUUUAGCUGCAAAUCUGUUCUCCUGUGGCGUGGGUGCCAGAAUCAUGGGGGGAAAGAGAGAGAGAGAUGGAGAGAUCCGUGGCAAUCUUCUAUAUUUAUUUGGCCCAGAAAAGAUAGGAGAGAGGCACCUGCUGGGCUCUGCGCAGGAUUUCAUGGGCUGGCUGGGGUCUUCUGGGCACACAGGUGGCCCACGAUGUCCUGUGGGGCAGACAGGUCUAUGUGGCAGUGCUGCAUGCUCUGCCAGCCCACAGCACUUAUUUCUGUGACAGUUUCUACAUGCAGGCAUUCCAUAAGCUUGGAAAGAGCAGGCUUCUACUGUCCUGAAACAGUUUGUGUUUGCUCAUAACUUCACUUCAUUGCAUCUGAAACAGGGACAGCUGUCUCUGCAUCCAUAGAGCAAGGUGGGAAGAAAAUGGUGUUGCAAACACGGAUGCACAGAGCUUUGGUGGAGAUGGAGAUCCUUGAAUGGAUAGCCCUUGUUAGCAGAGGAGGAGCUUCCCUUGACCUUCCCACUCACUGACAGGACUCCAAGGAGAAGCGGGCAGGUGACGGUCACACCUGGACCACGCAAGCAAGAAAUGCACCUCACGUCAGCCCCUGACAUGGAAGCACUCAAUGAAGAAUUCCCCAUUGUUGGGAUUCUCCCUUCCCCUCCUUGAAGCGCCCAGCUCGAACCCCAGGACUGGGCUCAUCGUGCUGGAGGUGCGCUGGGUUCUCACCACAUGUCCCAUCCUGCCUUGUCUCCUCCAUGCAGAGCUUCUGCAGGGCAAGGAAAGCUCCCGGAGUCUUCUGGAUAAGUUGGGAGGGUUCAUCCAUUCAUUAGUGAAAGCUGGACGGAGCUGUCUGAAGGUCUGGAUGUGCAGCAAGGAAGAUAAGCAGAUUUGUUCACACAAUGGAUUCUGAGCUAUCUGAGUGAAAAGGGCAGGAUGUCCUCACUGAGAAAUGCAAUUUAGGAGCCCGACAGCUUGAAAACAGCUGGAAGGGUUUGGGACUUCCUGGGGAGAAAAAAAUCACCUUUGGCUCAAUGAGACGGGGAGGAUUUCAAGCCCACAGUGGAAGUUUUUGGAGAAGGUUGGGACUAAUGAGAAUGGAGGAUUACAGCUUCAACUGUUUUGCAAUCGUUGGCCUCGGUUCUUCAGACACUUUCACACAUGCUUAACUUUAUAUGUGUGGUUAGCUUUGCUGACCUGAAUGGGAUUAUUUACACGUGGUAGAUCUGAGCACAUGCGUAAAUGUUGACAGAGUGGCGUUCAGGGCGUAGCGUUUGUCACCAGAAAGGACACCGUGUCAAGGUCCUGACAUCCCACGGAGAUCCUCCCUGCUGGAAACAAACCCAAAAGCCGGGAAAUCCAGAUUCCUGAGUCCAGCUUAAAUCUGCUCUCAUGUGAAUGGGAUCUUUUGUUGUGCCACGUCAGGGCGCCGUGCCACCGAAUUGAUCUGGCAGCUGUUAAAACACUCACCUUUGUGCGUUCUGACUCUAUAGGAAGAUGCUGCGUGCCUGUAUGUGAAGGAUGCCAGGGCUGGGGGCUGGGAAAGGACACCUGGCCACUGGUGGGGUGUGAGGGGUUCCCUCCCUGGUGGUUCCCCUCCCUGAUAGAAGCAGAGCAUCACAAGUGUUUCCUGGAGCACAGGAGCACGUUCUACCUGCUGUGAUGUGAUCUGCUGAGAGCCUCCGAAACGCCCAUAAAUCACCUCUGCAAGCUGCGCCUCCAACAUUUAUCAGCUUGUGUCUGUCUGCAAGCCAAAGUGCCAUUAGGCUGACUCAUAUUUUGGCAUUUUGUGUUUGUAUACAACAGGACCAUGUUUGCAAGCAAUGGGGAAAAAAAAAAGAAAACACAAGGAAA